UUCCACCAACGCUUCCUGGUUUGAAAAUCAAGAGCUAAGUGAGGCUGAAGCUUCAUGGAUUACCUUGCUGAGGACUGUGGAUCCACAUCUGAAUCAAUCAAAUUUAGAAAAAUUUGUCAGCUUCCCGGAAUUUCAUCCGAAGAAUUCUCAAAUUGCGAGUCCUCAACCCUGCCUCGAAACAUUUAAUUGCGGAACCAAGACGUUUGAAUGGGUUCCGUUCCCAGUUUAUCACGCAGACUGAGAAGCCACCGGUUCAGGAAGGCGUCAAAACUGUACGCCUGAAGAAAAAAAAAUCCAUUUCCCCAGGAGAAAAUGACCAAGAUGAGACACACCAAGCCAUUUUGCUAGCUCCUGAGCCAAAAUCUCAAACAGCCAAGAAAUAUACGGUGGAAAACCCAAAGAGUGGCAUCAGACGUCCUGUUGUGCUGGAAGAUGAAGCAUUUGAGAUAUCUUAAGCCACUCACCAAGUUUGCCCAGACUUUCUUCACUAACAAAUGCUCUGAACUGUCCCCAAAGUUUUGAAUUUCAAAGUUAUGGAAAAGGACUCCUUUGCAGAGUGAAUGCUGAAGUAGUAUGAUAUAAGUUUACUUAACAAGAACUCACCUCUGCAAGAGAUGCCUGCUAUUUCUCCCACUGGCAGCCAGGAGGGUCAGAAUGACAUAUCCAAUAUGUGUAAUAUUACAGAAAUUAUUCUUUCAGCGAAAAUCUGAUUUUAAGAAAUAAGUGGGGGCUAAGCGCAUCAUGAAUACACUUGGGAAAGGGAUAGGAAUAAAAGGAAUGUUAAUUGACUACUACAUGUUAGAAAGCAAAAAUAGAAAAUCAGAAGUUUCCCCUGACAAAGGCACCUAAUAUUAAAAUGUCUUGGAAUUAUUAUUAUUUUUUUAACUUUAGGAGCUUUUCAUUAGCAUGAAACAUGGCUAUGUACUUUCCCCCCUGUGGGAUCAUAAAUGUGAAUGCAUCAUCAACCAGAUAAAUAGAAAACCUGCAAAGAAUUUAUAUAAGUAAUAGGUUGGCAUUAAGUGCCAGCUUUAAAAGCAGCAGCAGGAGGAGCUGACUCAUAGUUUUCAAUAAUUUUUGCAAAGGAAUAAAUUGAAACACUCAAUUUUUUGAAUGUUAAUGGUUAGGAACUAGGUAAAAAAAAAAAUUGGCGAAAAUUUUAUAUCCAGCCAAAGUUUUAUAUCCAAUAACAGAUUCAGAAAUUAGUGAACUCCAUUUACUAUGUAGCCUCGUUAAAAAUUGUACAAGAUAGUAAGAAUUUUUCUCUUUUGUGUUAAACUAGAUGACAAAUGUGGUAGAAGAAUUAGAAAUAUAAUAAGAGUUGUGUAUUAGUAGAUAGUGAUUUUAUCUGCAGAUCAAAUUAUCGCAGUUGUUUCCAGUUCAUAGAUACUCCAAACGGAAACAUGGUAAUAAUUGUGCUAAAAGUUUAUUUGAAAACAAAGAUGAUGAGAUGUUAACCAAACUCAUAAAUAUGAACCAGUUGCCAAGCAUCCAAAUUUUGAUCACAUGACCGUGGGGAUGCUGCAACGGUCGUAGGUGUGGAAAAUGGUCAUAAGUCACUUUUUUCAUUGCUGUUGUAACCUCAAACGGUCACUAAACAAACUGUUGUAAGUCAAGCACUACCUAUACAGUGAAAUCUUGAUGGGUAUUUGGUUAUGUAGCCCUGCAAGGGAGAAAGAAAUGUUUUUUGUAAAUGUUAUUUCAAUAACUUUGGAGGAAUUGCGUUUACAUAAUCAGCGUGUUGGGAUUUAAAUAAGUGUCAAAAGUCAAACGGUUUUAAAGUAUAGCUCCACCUUAGCGAACUAAACACAACUACACUAAGAGCUCUAAUUUCAUGCAGAUUGAAUUUAACCACCUUUACACAGUUAUAGAGGAAUACAAAUUCUUGAACGGUAACUAAGAGUUCGUGUUUGAACUCUGCUUUUAUUGUAAUAGUUGUUUCCAGACAGUUUGAAGAGAUCAACUCUGUUUGAAGAGAUCAAAUGCAAACAAGACCACUUGGUGUGCAGAACGUAUGGAACUGAAACAUAUGAAUAAAACAUGGUAAUCCAUCUGAA
Molecule: long non-coding RNA, 2054 nt
Organism: Protobothrops mucrosquamatus (brown spotted pit viper)
Lineage: Eukaryota; Metazoa; Chordata; Lepidosauria; Squamata; Viperidae
Exons: 2
Source: RefSeq, a predicted model, not a curated record